CCUACGGGUGGCAGCAGUAGGGAAUCUUUCACAAUGGGCGAAAGCCUGAUGGAGCAACGCCGCGUGCAGGAUGAAGGCCUUCGGGUUGUAAACUGCUUUUAUAAGCGAGAAAUAUGAUGGUAACUUAUGAAUACCGAUCGGCGACCUACGUGCCAGCAGCCGCGGCCAUACGUAGGAUCCGAGCAUUAUCCGGAGUGACUGGGUGUAAUGAGUUGCGUAGGUGGCAUAAUAAGUAGCUAGUGAAAUCUGGUGGCUCAACAAUUCAGACUAUUAGCUAAACUGUUAGGCUCGAGACCGUUAGAGGUAAGUGGAAUGUGUAGUGUAGGAGUGAAAGGCGUAGAUAUUAGGAGGAACACCAAUAGCGUAGGCAGGUUACUGGGACGGUUCUGACACUAAGGCACGAAAGCGUAGGGAGCAAACGGGAUUAGAUACCCUUGUAGUC
This 442-nucleotide ribosomal RNA is filed under the name uncultured bacterium. RNAcentral describes it as "partial 16S ribosomal RNA". It matches the Rfam family "Bacterial small subunit ribosomal RNA", at positions 338 to 795 of the family's 1533-position model. The record is from RNAcentral.